This 143-nucleotide small nuclear RNA is filed under the name Castor canadensis (American beaver). Its description in RNAcentral is "U1 spliceosomal RNA (ENSCCNG00000008852.1)". It matches the Rfam family "U1 spliceosomal RNA". From Rfam's summary of the family: U1 is a small nuclear RNA (snRNA) component of the spliceosome (involved in pre-mRNA splicing). Its 5' end forms complementary base pairs with the 5' splice junction, thus defining the 5' donor site of an intron. Lineage: Eukaryota; Metazoa; Chordata; Mammalia; Rodentia; Castoridae. The record is from Rfam by way of RNAcentral.
AUCCUUACCUGGCAGGGGAGAUACCAUGAUCACGAAGGUGGUUUCCCCAGAGUGAGCCUUAUCCAUUGCACUCCGGAUGUGCUGACCCCUGCGAUUUCCCCAUAAUUUGUGGUGGUGGGGGACUGCGUUAGCACUCUCCCCUA